Molecule: non-coding RNA, 191 nt
Organism: Urocitellus parryii (Arctic ground squirrel)
Lineage: Eukaryota; Metazoa; Chordata; Mammalia; Rodentia; Sciuridae
Source: RefSeq, a predicted model, not a curated record
ACAUGUCUCCAGCGACUCCCGCUGCCUUUUUAUCGCGGGCUUUAGCCACCCCCACCCCCUCGGUGGCACUCGCCGGCCGCCCUGGCUGUUACCUUAUAAGGUGGACCCAAAGCAAAGGAUCCCGGAUUCAUCAUUUAUUGGCAGCCCUUGGUGGGAAGAGGAUGGCUUGGGCUCUGAGGGGAAGUAGAGAU